RNAcentral lists this long non-coding RNA (383 nucleotides) under Pan troglodytes (chimpanzee). RNAcentral describes it as "long non-coding RNA NONPTRT014028". Lineage: Eukaryota; Metazoa; Chordata; Mammalia; Primates; Hominidae. The record is from RNAcentral.
CAUUCCUUCCCAACAGUCCCCCAGAGUCUUAACUCAUUUCAGCAUUAACUCAGAAGUCCACAGUCCAAAGUCUCAUCUGAGACAAGGCAAGUUCCUUCUACCUAUGAGCUUGUAACAUCAUAAACAAGUUAGUUACUUCCCAGAUACAAUGAGGGUACAGGCAUUGGGUAAAUAAACCCAUUUCAAAUGGGAGAAAUUGGCCAAAACAAAGAGGCUGCAGGUGCCAUGCAAGUUCGAAAUCCAAUAGGGCAGUCAUGAAACCUUAAAGUUCCAAAAUGAUCUCCCAGCCUCCCAAGUAGCUGGGACUAUAGGCGUCCGCCACCAUGCCCAGCUAAUUUUUUGUAUUUUUAGUAGAGACGGGGUUUCACCAUGUUAGUCAAGAU